UCCCAGAUCUGGCAUUCCAAGUUCUAGGGUCUCCCCCACCAGCUCUGACAUUCUGGGUUCCAGGACCCCUCUUAGCUCUGAUAUUCUGUUCUAAGGCCAGUCCUAGCUUUCCUGUAUCAUCUGACAAAGAAGGAAGCUCAACAACUGGAUACAGAUCCCUUGGAUCAGGACUGGAAGAUUGGGAAACUGAGGCACAAAAAAGGAAGUGGUUAACCUAAAGGCUUAGAACUAGCAUAAAGAAGAAUGGGAAUUGGAGUCCAGGCCGCUUUUCCAGGAAGAAGACAGCAAGAAUAAAGAAGCCCCAAUAAUUCUUCUUCCCAGACCCCAACAAACUUGGCUUCCUAGAACUGGGGUCACCCACGUUCCAGAAUCACAGAAUCAGUCGCGGGGUUGGAAAGCGUCUCAGAGCCCACCUAUUCCAGUGGUAUCUGAAGAAUAAUCCUCUUCCAGGUUCCUCUACCAUUUAAUCUCUGGAGAAA
Long non-coding RNA from Sarcophilus harrisii (Tasmanian devil), 479 nucleotides. RefSeq lists it as uncharacterized. The transcript has 2 exons. Lineage: Eukaryota; Metazoa; Chordata; Mammalia; Dasyuromorphia; Dasyuridae. The record is from RefSeq and is a predicted model, not a curated record.